UGCCCUUUAACACAUGUUGAUACAUACUAAUAAAGAUAAUUGGCUAGUUUCGGAAAAAAGACAUACAUAAAUUUUAUACAUUCCCUGUGUGAACUAUGUGCUUUCGAUUGUGUAUACAAUCUAUCAGAUAUUUUAUUUAUCAAAACAUCAUGUAUUCGAUUAAGUUGUGUAAUGGAAUGUGAAAGUUCGAAACAAAAAGAUUCUUCAGCUUUGUGUGUGCAUGAUGAUGAUUACCGUUAUCUUGAUGAUAUUUUUUCGUAAAAUAAUCAAGAAUUUUCUCAAUAUACUGCUGAAAUUUACCCAAAGGAACUUACUUUAAAUAAAUCAAAUUUAUACGGUAAUAACUGUCCUUUCCUGGAUUUAGAUAUUUCGGUUUUAAACGGGAAACUCCACACUAAAAUUUAC
RNAcentral lists this long non-coding RNA (405 nucleotides) under Mytilus galloprovincialis (Mediterranean mussel). Lineage: Eukaryota; Metazoa; Mollusca; Bivalvia; Mytilida; Mytilidae. The record is from RNAcentral.